GAUGAACGCUGGCAGCGUGCCUAAUACAUGCAAGUCGAGCGAAUGGAUUAAGAGCUUGCUCUUAUGAAGUUAGCGGCGGACGGGUGAGUAACACGUGGGUAACCUGCCCAUAAGACUGGGAUAACUCCGGGAAACCGGGGCUAAUACCGGAUAACAUUUUGAACCGCAUGGUUCGAAAUUGAAAGGCGGCUUCGGCUGUCACUUAUGGAUGGACCCGCGUCGCAUUAGCUAGUUGGUGAGGUAACGGCUCACCAAGGCAACGAUGCGUAGCCGACCCGAGAGGGUGAUCGGCCACACUGGGACUGAGACACGGCCCAGACUCCUACGGGGGGCAGCAGUAGGGAAUCUUCCGCAAUGGACGAAAGUCUGACGGAGCAACGCCGCGUGAGUGAUGAAGGCUUUCGGGUCGUAAAACUCUGUUGUUAGGGAAGAACAAGUGCUAGUUGAAUAAGCUGACACCUUGACGGUACCUAACCAGAAAGCCACGGCUAACUACGUGCCAGCAGCCGCCGUAA
This 515-nucleotide ribosomal RNA is filed under the name uncultured bacterium. RNAcentral's name for it is "partial 16S ribosomal RNA". It matches the Rfam family "Bacterial small subunit ribosomal RNA", at positions 28 to 523 of the family's 1533-position model. The record is from RNAcentral.